This is a long non-coding RNA of Cyprinus carpio carpio, 3850 nucleotides long. Lineage: Eukaryota; Metazoa; Chordata; Actinopteri; Cypriniformes; Cyprinidae. The record is from Ensembl.
AUGUCAAGAAAACAAGUUUCUGUCAAGGUAAUGAGAAAAACAAUUUAUAUGUCGAGAUCUGUCUCAAGAGCACAACUUUCAAUUUGUAGAGAUCUAGCAAAAAAUGGCAACAUAAGAAAAUUAAGUUGUGUCUCAAGAGAACAUCUUAUAUUGACAUCACAAGGAAAUAAAUUAAGGGGGAAAAAAUUGGUGUACAAUUUGUUUUGAAACCAUUUUCACUCAGAAACUGCGAAUACAUUUUUCAGGUAAUUAUAAAGAAACAUAUAACAUUGAAUGAAAAUUUUGAAGCCAAAAUAUUCUCAACUAAACCUUAAUCCAAUAAGCAUUCUUUUAUUUACAACUUUGAAAAAUCUUUUUUUAUAGCGUAUAUGCUUUAAUAGAUGUCACUUUUAGCAAAGUCUUAUUUCUAGUGCAUUUAUAACCUGCUGAGAGAAGAUCACAGAUGCAAAGGUCAAUGACAUGGGUUUGCAGCUGUGUAAAAAGAGGUGUUUUGUGAAAGAGUUCUGGACUUGGGCACCUAUUAUAGGCAUUAUCAUUAGUCUUGCACUACAGACUCAGUUAAACCACGCGUUUAACCCAGAGGUGUGAAGCUGAGCCAUUGAUUCUGCUUAUCUAAUAAGCUUUUUUUGUUCUAUUGAUGGGUUUUGUGUACCACCAAUAAUUUAAUUAGAGAUUAAUUUCACUGUAGAAUUUACGUGUUGGAAUAGCUUUCAGCAAUCAGAUAACAUUGGUUGAACUGGAGCAGGGUAAAACUGGGAAAGGGAGGCUAAACCAACAUGCAUACACUAUCGAGCCAAACCUCAUCAAAUUCCCCUCAGAGUUGCCCAGUCGAAUGGGUUUGUCAUUUCCCUUUCAGCAGAAACCCCCCAGCUUUCCUUCAUUACCCACAAAUAGUGCAGCUCAACCCUUAUUGAACAUUCCUAAUAGUCCUCCCACCCGGUUUCUAUCUAUAGUGCUGCUGCUGACAGGGGUUUGCAUUCCGGUUUAAUCCUGUGUUUCUGAAAGGCUGUGUGCUCCGUUAUGCUAUAAGCAGAUGCACUGAAAGUUACCCUUGCAGUAGGUGAUGGAUUAGCCAACACACAUCAUAGAAUGAUUCACCACAGAUUCGCACUUAGACAGAAAUUAUUGAUUUAAUUUAAAGGUAAUUGACAAAUAAGAGUGUCAACGAUUAAGAGAGGUAAAAAGAUGUGCCUUCUUCCUUAGUUCCUUAGGUAAUUAUUUUUUUUUUAAUUCCACCAUGAGCGUAAAAUUACAUAUUAACAAACAUUAAAAAAAUAAGUGUUUAAAAAACACGUUUUGGGGGAGUCACACCACAACAUUCAUAUUAUCCAAUAUUUUAGAGUUAUUAACCUUGUCAAACAGUCAUGAGGGUCUGCAAGGGUCCUCUAUGAUAUGUCUUGUUCCUUUUUUUUCCCCCAAGACUUUGAUUUGCCAGACAAAAGUUGUUUAAAUAUUAAUCAGCAGUAAAGCUAAAGUUAAAAAAAAAAAAAACUUUUAAAAUAAAAACUUAUCCUUAAUGGUUUUCUUUUAAUAUCUAUUAUUUUAAUGAGGCGAAAUUAUAAUUUCUCUUCACUACUUCAUUUUAGUAAAGUGGUAUUACCCUAAAUUAUUGAUUUACUGACUGACUUAUCUUCACUGCGAUUACCUUGAUUUUUGACUUUACAUUGCAUUAUGUAAUUUUUUAUUAAAUAGUAUAUUAAAUUAAAUGUGUCAUGUCAUUUAACCUAGAGGUAUUUUACAAUACCAGAAGAGAAAAAAAAAAAAAAAUACACUAAUGAAUGCAAUAGAAGUACAAUUUGAGCUCAAGAUGUCAACAAGGCUGCAUCUGUUAGUCAAUAUUAAACUGGGCCCAUCAAAGUGUCAUUUUGUACAAACAUCAAUAACAACUAGAGGUCUUCAGAACAGUUUCUCUAAUAAGUCCCUACAGAAAGAGAACAGAAUGGAUUGAUCAAUAGCCUUGAGUUGGAGGGAUUCAGAGAUCUUGAUAGGGGGAAGUUAGUCGAGGCAUUUUAAUUCAAUUGGCAUCAGUGGUGUUUACAGUGUUUUGUCCAGGAUCUCUCAUAGUGAAGAUAUCUUUAACGAAGACGAGGAUGUAAUGAAAAGCUAGUGAGAUUUCUCCAAUCAUAAAUCACAUCUGUAAGUUGUAAGCCAAGGACUACAGGCAGAUUUAAUAAGCACCGUAACUUGGGCCUAAAGAAUGAAAUAAAAAACAAAACAAAACAGCACACAGUGUUUAGAUGAUAUCUUUGAAUUUUCUCCUGCUCUUUGAUAAACAGAAGACACUUAGAAAACUUUCUUACCACAUCCAAUAGAAGUAGCAGAUGCCUGCAAAAACCUCAAUCAAUCACAUCUGAAUGUUUUAGCUCCUGCAAAACACUUCUGCAUUUACCAUGUGUGUUAGCAAAUCCGAUCAAUGAUCUCCUACACGUCUAAGUGUUGCUGAUUAAUGGUUUCAUUCGAAAGUUGCCUGAAGCUGUGGAGCGCAGUUUUGGCAUCCAAGAACACACUUAUGAUAUUCAGUGUUGAAGACAGCUGAUGAAUUACAGAGUAAACUUGUGUGACUUAGCCAAGACGGCACUGCCAUUAAGGCCAACACUGAUGUCUUUAUUUACAUAAAACAAUAAACAUUUAGGUAUUUUGAGGCUGCCAGAAAUGCAGAGCGAGAUUUGGCAAGGACAUUUUUUUUUAUUAUUAUGUUUUUGAGUAUCUAUGUACUUUAGUCCUCAUAAACUGCUCAUUAGCUUGUACUUUGUUGAGACUACGUUUCCCUGAUAAGUGUGGGCAUCAAGUUUAAGCCUCAUUGAUGGUUGGCAUUAUCAUGGGACAUUCAGUGAUGUAUACAGUGACUGGAACACAAUGAAGAACAACAAUAUUGGUUUUAUCUAAGUGAAAAGGCAAAAGAACAUUUGUUGGAAACAGCUGCCUGCAGAGCUUUGAGAGAAAAAAAUAAUAAUAAUUGUAUUCAAGGGCAGCUAUUCUUUAUUGCUGGCUAUGAGCCACCUGACCUCUUGUUAAAGGAAGCCAGAGGAAGUAAACUUGUCUUUAUACUUUAAAAGAAAUCCACAGAGCAAGGUCCUGAGAAAACCCCACAAAUCAGUAUUUUUUCCACCUUGUUGCUUCAUCCUGUUGUAAUUGAUAUGUUCCUCAGAGGACUAGUGAUCCAUUUCAUAUGCAGAUAUUAUUCUUACCGCCAACACACGUCUUUCUCCAGAUGUCUCUGAGAAGGAAAGGUGACAGACGUUUGUGCAGUUACUCAUUCCUAAAUAGGCCCGAGAGGACUGGUGUCUGAAAGAAAGAUGACCUGGGUAGGUGGAUGGCUUGAAGUCUCCCAUUUAAGAUCAGGAAGGUCUGUAAAAUCGGGAAUGCUGUAGAUAUGUCUUACAUUAAAAUGGCUAAUGGGGCUUUGGUUGCAUAUAAUAAAUAAGAGUAUUUCUUUGACAUCACGAGGGCAUGCAUGAACAAAAUCAGCUUGGCUUUUUUUUGAAUUACGAUAAAGGAUAUUCUUUUGCAAUUGGCCCUGAAAGAGAAUUCUCUCUAGCCAGGUUUUUUUAUAAACCACAUGAAGAAAAUAUUUGUAAAAGAAGAAAAACUGCUCUAAUUGACUUUUUUUUUUUUUUAAACCACACUGCUGGAUUUUAGUUGAGAAAACACACUUAGAGUUAAUCUAUCCAGCCAGCUGGAUUGCUCAUUUAAGCCAGCAGGAUGGGUUACUCAAUUGACCCAGUUGGUAGCUCAUAUUGACUACAAUGCUGGGUCAAUUUUACCUCAUAAAAUGGUUAUUCUCUUUCAGAUAAAUCUGUAAAUUGGGACUAUAAAGAGCAAGAGUUAAUUGGAAUAGACCUAACUUUUU